UACAGAGACUGCGAGCGUUAUUCGGAUUCACUGGGCGUAAAGGGUGCGCAGGCGGCCAAGUGUGUGAUGCGUGAAAGCCCGGGGCUUAACCCCGGAAUUGCACCUCAAACUACAUGGCUAGAGCAUUGGAGAGGGUAGCAGAAUUCAUGGUGUAGCAGUGAAAUGCGUAGAUAUCAUGAGGAAUACCAGAGGCGAAGGCGGCUACCUGGACAAUUGCUGACGCUCAGGCACGAAAGCGUGGGGAGCAAAAGGG
This 253-nucleotide ribosomal RNA is filed under the name uncultured bacterium. Its description in RNAcentral is "partial 16S ribosomal RNA". It matches the Rfam family "Bacterial small subunit ribosomal RNA", at positions 524 to 776 of the family's 1533-position model. The record is from RNAcentral.